Seriola aureovittata is the source of this 2413-nucleotide long non-coding RNA. RefSeq lists it as uncharacterized. The record is from RefSeq and is a predicted model, not a curated record. The transcript has 12 exons. NCBI's taxonomy places the organism in Eukaryota, Metazoa, Chordata, Actinopteri, Carangiformes, Carangidae.
GCAUGUUUGAUUUUCUUCAGUGCUAACUGAUUGAUCUAUUGAUUGAUUGAAGUUUAUUUUCAACAUAAAAAAGUAAAAAAAAGAAAAAGAAAAGAACAACAGAUGAUUAAUAGUGAUCCAUGUUCAAAAACGAGUGGGAAGAAAUCGUAACUUGCCCAUUCUCCCACACUAAUGAUUUGCAUAUCUAUCAUGUCUACCCUGCCUCCCCAAAAUUGCUACCACUAAUAAUAAUAAUAAUAAUAAUAAUAAUAAUAAUAAUAAUAUCAACAACCAUGAUUGUACAAUUGUACACCUACUGUAUGUACAUCUGCAUCAAUAAAAAAGGACAAUGAAAAAAUGACUGAACAAUAACAAAACAAUAACAAACAUAAUGAUCAGAAAAGGACCAGCUAAUAAUGUACAUAAAUAAAUAAAUUUGGUGUGUGAAGUUGUUGUGUUUUUGUUGAAAAAGACGCUAUCGGGUAGAAAUCCGCUGUAUAAACUUGUGUGUGUUUUAAAAGACGCUAUCGGGUAGUAACCAUGGUAACCAAGCUAUAUUUGUCCAAACGGAGCUGCCGUACUUUUCUGUCCAAGAUGGCCGACCGUAUUGCACAUGCGCGAAGCAAAUCGGAUAGGUCCGCAGAUCGGGUUGCCACAGGCGGUUCAGUUUUUUCCGGUUUCCACACUGUGAAAAGUGAGUGAUCUGUGCCAACAGAAGGAGGACCUCAUGUACAGAGCAGCCCGUUUGUUUCCAUUCAUCUGGUUGUGGAGAAGGGAGACUGCAUGGACAUCCUUAGUUCUCAGAUGUGCUCUGAUAAUGAUGGUAGAAAACCACUUCCAGUUCAGCUUCCUCUAAUGAAAUGACAGACUAACUGCUGAUGAGUUUGUUUAUUAUUCUCUGUCUUAACUAUUAACAGGUUCAGUUUCUUACCUGAAACUUCUUUUCUGCUGUUGUUGACAGGUGAUGGUAGCAACACUUUUAAGAACAGAAUUUAUAAAUAUUAAACUGUGAUUAAGUGAUUGAUCAACUCUAGCACUGUCACCACCUCCACAGGAUACGGUGAGCCAACUGACACGGAGCGGGUCUGAGGCAGUAGACUGACCCAGAGUGAAGGGCAGGAAGAGACAAGAAACCACGUUUAACAGCAAAGAAAAGAAGCAACACGAGUAAAUCUCGAUGUGGAUUUCCACCGCUGGAGACGGCUCCUGAGAGGAAAGAGAUGCAGUUUGGUGCCGAGCUCGCAACUUUCCUGUUAGCCAGGACCUGAGCCAGUACAGAUGCAAUACUUCACGCCUCCACCUGUCUCACCAACGGCAGAGAGUCUAGACACAGUGAGGAGGAUCUAGGACCAGAAGUCCAGUCUAAUCACCAAUGAUGGACCAGCACCUGCCUUUUCUUCUGCAUCUGGCCUCAUCAAUCAACCACAUUACAUCAACACCUUGAGGGAUGGCAGAAUCCACCUUGGGUCAGAACCACACCUUCCGGAAACGAUAUCGGCCCCAAUGGAACGAACUACAAGUGUGGACACUACAGUGGAUACUACACUUUACACGUGUUUUUAGGAGUGGGAGGCUCUGGAUUGAUUGCUUGCCUGGAUACCUAACUAUGUCCCCAAUGAGACCGUCUUGAAUCUGGACAAUAUGGUGAGGGACUGACUGAUACUAACAGGCAGAAAGUGUAAAACCAAGAAGGUGACUGCAUGAAUCAAAUUCAUGUCAAUGAAACUGAACAGGGUAGUGAGUUUAUAAAAAGACUUGCUGAACCAGAAGGUGAAAGUUGAUCACCGUCUAGUGAAGACACCCAUGUGGACGUCUUCGUCAGUUUUGCGUCUUAUCUUAAUGUAGGGAUGUGUCACCAAUAGGAACCUGGGAGUCUUUUUAGUUUCUCUGGACUAACAAGAAGAAAUCAACAACACAUGGAGUAUCGGACGUCCUUUUUUAUAAAGCCAAUUGUUUCUUAUCACUUGGAAACAGGAAAAAGGAAAUUCUGCACAAGUGAUUCAGCUCAGCAUCCCAGGUACGACCCAUUGAGGCAGAGGAAUUGUCUGUUCCCGUUCAGUGUGUGACCGAUCCUUAUGGUUUGGAUGGACUUGUCGUGUAUGAUGAUGUAUCUUAUCCCUUACGUUCUGUUGGGAACCACAGGCCUAGAGAUUGGACCUCAUCUGCCGAUAACUCGAAUGAUACGAUUAAUGAUGAAUACGAGGUGGAAAACCUAAUGAUCAGUCCCCGGGACUCAACACGGGGUGGGAGCUGUAUCCUGCUACUGGUUCAUUGCCCUUUCUGCCUGAGUGAAACUACACGCACAGGGACUGUAACAUGGUGGAGUCAGACUGGACAAUGGACGGUGAUCAUUGCUACAAUUGGCCUCCUGAUUUUAUCUAUUAAUUUUUUUUAAUUUUUUAAUUUAAAAAAUAAAUAUAUUUUUGCCACUGAA